This 292-nucleotide unclassified non-coding RNA is filed under the name uncultured Mollicutes bacterium. RNAcentral describes it as "contains 16S-23S intergenic spacer region". Lineage: Bacteria; Bacillati; Mycoplasmatota; Mollicutes. The record is from RNAcentral.
UCCAGUUUAUCACUGGCAGUCUCGCUAGAGUCCUCAACUUAAUGUUAGCAACUAACGACGAGGGUUGCGCUCGUUGCGGGACUUAACCCAACAUCUCACGACACGAGCUGACGACAACCAUGCACCACCUGUCUCCUCUGUCCCCGAAGGGAAUGGCAUAUCUCUAUACCCGUCAGAGGGAUGUCAAGGCCUGGUAAGGUUCUUCGCGUUGCGUCGAAUUAAACCACAUGCUCCACCGCUUGUGCGGGUCCCCGUCAAUUCCUUUGAGUUUCAGUCUUGCGACCGUACUUCC